AGAGAAUAAGAUAUUUUGAAAUUAUACAAUGAUCUCUAUUAAAGUGAUAACAGCUGGUACCAACUUGACAAAUCAAAGAAUUUUAUGAGAAAGAUAAACUGUACACUUCCUGUAAAACCCAGCCAAACUAAUAACAUUGGGGAUUACAGUAAAGGCACUUACUACUGUCAAGUCGACACACAGCCUCGUUGACCUUUUAUAAAUGGAUGAAAAUAAGUUUAGCAAAACCCAGCAAGAUAUAUGGAAAGUUGGACUGCAGGUGAAUGGUAGGAGGUCUGAGCAAUUUUACUAACCCAACCAGUCGGCAAUAAUUGGUGAACUGCCUUCUCCCUUGAGAGCCUGGGGACACAUAUGGCUGCCCAUUGGUGAGCCUGCUCAUUGCUUGGAGGGCACUUUAUUGACUGUAUUUGCUGUUUGUUGAGUGUAUUUCUCCCAGGAGCUUUAACAAUAUUGCCCAUGAAUCUGAACCUUGUGACUGGUAAACAUUCUCCGGCCUUGACAAUCAGUGUUUCAGCUUUGCUUCAGUAUUUUGCUUUCUGCCAAAGCCAUGGCCUUGAUGCCCUGCAAUAUCUGUCUUGCACCCCAAGGCCAUUAUCUGGGCUGCACAUUUCCAUUUCCUUGAACAUUAUCUCUUUUAAAUACUUCUCACUGAAAUCAACAACUUUCUGUGGGAGUCAUAAUCGAUUUUGUCAGUAUAUGUCUAGUUCCAGUCCCUUGUUGCUUUUCUUUUCCUGUGUCAGGAACAUACACCAGGCUGGCCUUUCACUGGUACUUGAAUAUAAUUCUUUAAUCAGAGAUCACUUUACUUUUCCUUUCCCCACUCCCAGCCAAAAAUAAUCAUUUAAUUAGAUCCAAUGGUAUGAAAUCCAUUUCUCAAACACGAGCCAAAGCCCAUAACUUCAACUGGGCACAGAGUUCAUAGAAUUCCCUGUAUGAUUCCCCCAGGAGAUUCAACUCCAAGGGCAAUGGGCUGAGCUCUUCAGAUGAAAUGGGAUGCAGACGGCCCCAUCUUUUCAUGGCUCGGUAACAAGGCCCAUUAUUUACAGUGCCCUCUCUGCUCUCUGACUCUGUUAGCAUUUUUCUUUUCAAUUUGGAUCUUGGCCUGCAUUGUGCCCCUUUCAUGAAGCACGUGCCAUAAUGAUUUUAAAAUAAUGGGAACAAUGCUAUGGCACUGUUCCUUGGCGAUACGAUUCUCAAACUGUCUGCAGAUUGCUGAGUAAGUGAAAUGUUUUGACAGAGAGAAAUAUGUGUUGUCAAUGUUGCUUUACCCAUGGUUGGGAAGGGAAAUUGGAACUGUACUUCAGCAGGGUUCAGAGGUUGAUGACUGGAAUGAUCUCCUCAGAACAAAUGACUACAGACCAUUUUGCUUUCCUUUAUGCCUCAUUCUUCUCUAAUGAAAUGCCC
RNAcentral lists this long non-coding RNA (1404 nucleotides) under Equus caballus (horse). Its description in RNAcentral is "lncRNA (ENSECAG00000058545.1)". The record is from RNAcentral. Lineage: Eukaryota; Metazoa; Chordata; Mammalia; Perissodactyla; Equidae.